Molecule: ribosomal RNA, 473 nt
Filed under: Shigella sonnei
Lineage: Bacteria; Pseudomonadati; Pseudomonadota; Gammaproteobacteria; Enterobacterales; Enterobacteriaceae
Description: partial 23S ribosomal RNA
Rfam family: Bacterial large subunit ribosomal RNA
Source: RNAcentral
GGGGAUAACAGGCUGAUACCGCCCAAGAGUUCAUAUCGACGGCGGUGUUUGGCACCUCGAUGUCGGCUCAUCACAUCCUGGGGCUGAAGUAGGUCCCAAGGGUAUGGCUGUUCGCCAUUUAAAGUGGUACGCGAGCUGGGUUUAGAACGUCGUGAGACAGUUCGGUCCCUAUCUGCCGUGGGCGAUGGAGAACUGAGGGGGGCUGCUCCUAGUACGAGAGGACCGGAGUGGACGCAUCACUGGUGUUCGGGUUGUCAUGCCAAUGGCACUGCCCGGUAGCUAAAUGCGGAAGAGAUAAGUGCUGAAAGCAUCUAAGCACGAAACUUGCCCCGAGAUGAGUUCUCCCUGACCCUUUAAGGGUCCUGAAGGAACGUUGAAGACGACGACGUUGAUAGGCCGGGUGUGUAAGCGCAGCGAUGCGUUGAGCUAACCGGUACUAAUGAACCGUGAGGCUUAACCUUACAACGCCGAAG